AGAGUUUGAUCCUGGCUCAGAAUCAACGCUGGCGGCGCGCUUAACACAUGCAAGUCGCACGAGAAAGGGGAGCAAUCCCUGAGUACAGUGGCGUACGGGUGAGUAACACGUGGAUGAUCUACCUUCUAGUGGGGAAUAACCCAGGGNAAACCGGGGCUAAUACCGCAUAAGCUCGAGAGAGGAAAGCAGCAAUGCGCUGGAAGAGGAGUCCGCGGCCGAUUAGCUAGUUGGCAGGGNUAAAAGCCUACCAAGGCAGAGAUCGGUAGCCGGCCUGAGAGGGCACACGGCCACACUGGCACUGAAACACGGGCCAGACUCCUACGGGAGGCAGCAGUGGGGAAUCUUGCACAAUGGGGGAAACCCUGAUGCAGCGACGCCGCGUGAGCGAUGAAGCCCUUCGGGGUGUAAAGCUCUUUCGGCAGGGAAGAUGAUGACGGUACCUGCAGAAGCAGCUGCGGCUAACUACGUGCCAGCAGCCGCGGUAAUACGUAGGCAGCGAGCGUUGUUCGGAGUUACUGGGCGUAAAGGGUGUGUAGGCGGUUGUUUAAGUUUGGUGUGAAAUCUCCCGGGCUCAACUGGGAGGGUGCGCCGAAUACUGAAUGACUUGGAGUGCGGGAGAGGAAAGUGGAAUUCCUGGUGUAGCGGUGAAAUGCGUAGAUAUCAGGAGGAACACCGGUGGUGUAGACGGCUUUNUU
RNAcentral lists this ribosomal RNA (695 nucleotides) under uncultured bacterium. RNAcentral's name for it is "bacterial SSU rRNA". It matches the Rfam family "Bacterial small subunit ribosomal RNA", at positions 8 to 731 of the family's 1533-position model. The record is from RNAcentral.